This 483-nucleotide ribosomal RNA is filed under the name uncultured bacterium. RNAcentral describes it as "partial 16S ribosomal RNA". It matches the Rfam family "Bacterial small subunit ribosomal RNA", at positions 28 to 507 of the family's 1533-position model. The record is from RNAcentral.
GACGAACGCUGGCGGCGUGCUUAACACAUGCAAGUCGAACGCUGAAGCUCAGCUUUUGUUGGGUGGAUGAGUGGCGAACGGGUGAGUAACACGUGAGUAACCUGCCUCCUUCUUUGGGAUAACGCCCGGAAACGGGUGCUAAUACUGGAUAUUCACUGGUCUUCGCAUGGGGGUUGGUGGAAAGGGUUUUUCUGGUGGGGGAUGGGCUCGCGGCCUAUCAGCUUGUUGGUGGGGUGAUGGCCUACCAAGGUUUUGACGGGUAGCCGGCCUGAGAGGGUGACCGGUCACAUUGGGACUGAGAUACGGCCCAGACUCCUACGGGAGGCAGCAGUGGGGAAUAUUGCACAAUGGGCGCAAGCCUGAUGCAGCGACGCCGCGUGAGGGAUGGAGGCCUUCGGGUUGUGAACCUCUUUCGCUCAUGGUCAAGCCGCAACAAUGGUUGUGGUGAGGGUAGUGGGUAAAGAAGCGCCGGCUAACUACGUG